RNAcentral lists this long non-coding RNA (549 nucleotides) under Ananas comosus (pineapple). Its description in RNAcentral is "long non-coding RNA (ACOM_LNC001165)". The record is from RNAcentral. Lineage: Eukaryota; Viridiplantae; Streptophyta; Magnoliopsida; Poales; Bromeliaceae.
UUUUUAUAAGUCAACACCCCUCAACAUAUACUAAACUUCAGUUUAGCAGCUCAGAAUCUGUUCCUUUUCGCCGGAGCCCUUCUAAACGUCCGUUUAUGCUCAAAUUUGACAGUCAGACUUGGUUUAAGCUAAUAGAAAGAAAUAUAUCUUAACUUUUCAGUUUUAACUAUUUUUGGUCACCGAAAACUCUACCGACUAAAAUCUCUAGCGGAUAGCAGUUAGAUUUUAUUUUUCACUUUCCGGGUGUCGGAAUGAUAUGAAACUUUAAAUCUAACCUCAUAAAAAUAAUUCCGACAUAUUCUUCAAUUUUUAUAAUUUUCUGACACUGUGAAUUUUCUGCUAAAAUAUCAGUCUCGUUCCUUACAGAAAAUUCUAAAUUUUCUAUUUUCGUCCGGAUUUCAGCACAAGUUAUUUCCAAUUUAUAUUUUACUUCUUUAAGUCAAAUAAAAAUAGUAUCUCACACUAUUUUUAUUUAUAUUUACUUUUAUAUUAAGAAGUUGGUACAUUAUAUACUAUGAAGCGUUUGAUAGACAUAAAAGGACACCAAAU